GAUGAACGCUGGCGGCGUGCCUAAUACAUGCAAGUCGAGCGAACAGACGAGGAGCUUGCUCCUUUGACGUUAGCGGCGGACGGGUGAGUAACACGUAGGUAACCUACCUAUAAGACUGGGAUAACUUCGGGAAACCGGAGCUAAUACCGGAUAAUAUUUCGAACCGCAUGGUUCGAUAGUGAAAGAUGGCUUUGCUAUCACUUAUAGAUGGACCUGCGCCGUAUUAGCUAGUUGGUAAGGUAACGGCUUACCAAGGCAACGAUACGUAGCCGACCUGAGAGGGGGAUCGGCCACACUGGAACUGAGACACGGUCAAGACUCCUACGGGAGGCAGCAGUAGGGAAUCUUCCGCAAUGGGCGAAAGCCUGACGGAGCAACGCCGCGUGAGUGAUGAAGGUCUUCGGAUCGUAAAACUCUGUUACUAGGGAAGAACAAACGUGUAAGUAACUGUGCACGUCUUGACGGUACCUAAUCAGAAAGCCACGGCUAACUACGUG
Molecule: ribosomal RNA, 497 nt
Filed under: uncultured bacterium
Lineage: Bacteria
Description: partial 16S ribosomal RNA
Rfam family: Bacterial small subunit ribosomal RNA
Source: RNAcentral